RNAcentral lists this ribosomal RNA (223 nucleotides) under uncultured bacterium. RNAcentral's name for it is "partial 16S ribosomal RNA". It matches the Rfam family "Bacterial small subunit ribosomal RNA", at positions 116 to 334 of the family's 1533-position model. The record is from RNAcentral.
CGUAGGUAACCUGCCUGGUAGCGGGGGAUAACUAUUGGAAACGAUAGCUAAUACCGCAUAAGAGUAGAUGUUGCAUGACAUUUGCUUAAAAGGUGCAAUUGCAUCACUACCAGAUGGACCUGCGUUGUAUUAGCUAGUUGGUGGGGUAACGGCUCACCAAGGCGACGAUACAUAGCCGACCUGAGAGGGCGAUCGGCCACACUGGGACUGAGACACGGCCCAG